Molecule: unclassified non-coding RNA, 404 nt
Filed under: soil metagenome
Description: partial contains 5.8S ribosomal RNA, internal transcribed spacer 2, and large subunit ribosomal RNA
Rfam family: 5.8S ribosomal RNA (bases 1-122)
Source: RNAcentral
GAUGAAGAACGUAGUAAAAUGCGAUACUUGGUGUGAAUUGCAGAAUCCCGUGAACCAUCGAGUUUUUGAACGCAAGUUGCGCCCGAAGCCUUUUGGCCGAGGGCACGUCUGCCUGGGCGUCACGCAUCGCGUCGCCCCCCACAAUUCUCCGUAAAGGGAACAUGUGUUUUGGGGGCGGAUAUUGGUCUCCCGUGCUCAUGGCGUGGUUGGCCGAAAUAGGAGUCCUUUCGAUGGACGCACGAACUAGUGGUGGUCGUAAAAACCCUCGUCUUUUGUUUUGUGCUGUUGCUCGCAAGGUAAACUCUUUAAAAACCCCAAUGUGUCGUCUCUUGACGACGCUUCGACCGCGACCCCAGGUCAGGCGGGACUACCCGCUGAGUUUAAGCAUAUCAAUAAGCGGAGGA